CAAUAGCGUAUAUUAAAGUUGUUGCGGUAAAAAAGCUCGUAGUUGGAUUUCUGUUGAGAGCGACCGGUCCAUACCAUGUAUGCGUAUCUGGCUUGCUCUCGGCAUCCUCUCGAUAGACGUUACUGCGCUUGAUUGCGUGGUGCGGAUCUCGGGACUUUUACUUUGAGGAAAUUAGAGUGUUCACGGCAGGCUUUCGCCAGAAUACAUUAGCAUGGAAUAAUACUAUAGGAUCCUGGUUCUAUUUUGUUGGUUUCUAGAAUUGAGAUAAUGAUUAAUAGGGACAAUUGGGGGCAUUCGUAUCAACACGUCAGAGGUGGAAUUCUUGGAUUGUGUUGCGACGAACUACUGCGAAAGCAUUUGCCAAGGAUGUUUUCAUUGA
RNAcentral lists this ribosomal RNA (379 nucleotides) under uncultured eukaryote. RNAcentral's name for it is "partial 18S ribosomal RNA". It matches the Rfam family "Eukaryotic small subunit ribosomal RNA", at positions 592 to 976 of the family's 1831-position model. The record is from RNAcentral.